RNAcentral lists this ribosomal RNA (497 nucleotides) under uncultured bacterium. Its description in RNAcentral is "partial 16S ribosomal RNA". It matches the Rfam family "Bacterial small subunit ribosomal RNA", at positions 29 to 523 of the family's 1533-position model. The record is from RNAcentral.
AUUGAACGCUGGCGGCAUGCCUUACACAUGCAAGUCGAACGGUAACGCGGGGCAACCUGGCGACGAGUGGCGAACGGGUGAGUAAAGCAUCGGAACGUGCCCAGUAGUGGGGGAUAGCCCGGCGAAAGCCGGAUUAAUACCGCAUACGACCUAUGGGCGACAGGGGGGAUCGCAAGACCUCUCGCUAUUGGAGCGGCCGAUGUCAGACUAGGUAGUUGGUGGGGUAAAGGCCUACCAAGCCGACGAUCUGUAGCUGGUCUGAGAGGACGACCAGCCACACUGGGACUGAGACACGGCCCAGACUCCUACGGGAGGCAGCAGUGGGGAAUUUUGGACAAUGGGCGCAAGCCUGAUCCAGCCAUGCCGCGUGCGGGAAGAAGGCCUUCGGGUUGUAAACCGCUUUUGUCAGGGAAGAAAUCCUUUGGGUUAAUACCUCGGGGGGAUGACGGUACCUGAAGAAUAAGCACCGGCUAACUACGUGCCAGCCGCCGCGGUAA